GAACGGGUGAGUAACACGUGGGAAACCUACCUCUUAGCAGGGGAUAACAUUUGGAAACAGAUGCUAAUACCGUAUAACAAUGACAACCGCAUGGUUGUUAUUUAAAAGAUGGUUCUGCUAUCACUAAGAGAUGGUCCCGCGGUGCAUUAGCUAGUUGGUAAGGUAAUGGCUUACCAAGGCGAUGAUGCAUAGCCGAGUUGAGAGACUGAUCGGCCACAAUGGGACUGAGACACGGCCCAUACUCCUACGGGAGGCAGCAGUAGGGAAUCUUCCACAAUGGGCGAAAGCCUGAUGGAGCAACGCCGCGUGUGUGAUGAAGGGUUUCGGCUCGUAAAACACUGUUGUAAGAGAAGAAUGACAUUGAGAGUAACUGUUCAAUGUGUGACGGUAUCUUACCAGAAAGGAACGGCUAAAUACGUGCCAGCAGCCGCGGUAAUACGUAUGUUCCAAGCGUUAUCCGGAUUUAUUGGGCGUAAAGCGAGCGCAGACGGUUAUUUAAGUCUGAAGUGAAAGCCCUCAGCUCAACUGAGGAAUUGCUUUGGAAACUGGAUGACUUGAGUGCAGUAGAGGAAAGUGGAACUCCAUGUGUAGCGGUGAAAUGCGUAGAUAUAUGGAAGAACACCAGUGGCGAAGGCGGCUUUCUGGACUGUAACUGACGUUGAGACUCGAAAGUGUGGGUAGCAAACAGGAUUAGAUACCCUGGUAGUCCACACCGUAAACGAUGAGUGCUAGGUGUUUGAGGGUUUCCGCCCUUAAGUGCCGCAG
Molecule: ribosomal RNA, 765 nt
Filed under: uncultured Weissella sp.
Lineage: Bacteria; Bacillati; Bacillota; Bacilli; Lactobacillales; Lactobacillaceae
Description: bacterial SSU rRNA
Rfam family: Bacterial small subunit ribosomal RNA
Source: RNAcentral